CCUAGCCAUCAUCAUAGAAACAGAAAUGUGCAGCAAGCUUGGCAGUUCUGACACAUCCUAUUUUCUGUGAACUGAUGACUAAUCAUGUAGAGCGAAAGAGACCAAAUUAAAAUCGAGUUAAAGGAAUAAUUCAAAUGUAUUCCGUUUAAGAGAUAGUAAUGACCAUUUGAAAAAUCUGGUCAAAUGCUGGAGCAAAAGGACCUGAGCCCUAGGACCAUGCCCCAGGACUACCUGACAUGAUGACUCCUUGCUGUCCCCAGUCCACCUGGCCAUGCUGCUGCUCCAGUUUCAACUUCCACCUGACUGUGCUGCUGCUCUAGUUUCAACUGUUCUGCCUUAUUAUUAUUCGACCAUGCUGGUCAUUUAUGAACAUUUGAACAUCUUGGCCAUGUUCUGUUAUAAUCUCCAACCGGCACAGCCAGAAGAGGUCUGGCCACCCCACAUAGCCUGGUUCCUCUCUAGGUUUCUUCCUAGGUAUUGGCCUUUCUAGGGAGUUUUUCCUAGCCACCGUGCUUCUACACCUGCAUUGCUUGCUGUUUGGGGUUUUAGGCUGGGUUUCUGUACAGCACUUUGAGAUAUCAGCUGAUGUACGAAGGGCUAUAUAAAUACAUUUGAUUUGAUUUGAUUUGAUUUAAAACUACCAAGAAACACUCUGUGUGCCCCGGAUUUAGCCCACUGCAGUAAAAGAUUAUUAAGUGAGUCUGUCAGUCAGAUUCAGUGGAAUAUUGGGCCAUGAUGAUCCAUAAUCAAAAUGACCCAGAGAAGGGUUCUUUCCUUUCUCUCAACCUGAGGGAGUUUUUUUUUAUGCUGCUAUUGUCCUGCUUUUCUAGGGCUUCAGGCCACGGGUCUUUAGUGAAGAGCUCUGAGACGAGAUCUGGAAUAUGCACGUCAUAAUGGGUACACAGGGAUGAACUGUUGCGUAGACAGGUAUUUUUCCAUUGACCAUCUGUGUUCCUUUCAUUUCUCUGUGGAUGUGAAACAGUAGGAUCACCACAGAACCAAAAUCUGUGAACUGAUGACUAAUCGGGCAUAGAGAAAUAGACUAAAUUCAAAACUAGUUAGGGAAGAAUUAAUUGUAGUCAGAUAACCAGGUCAUUCCAACGACUCAGUGCCUUUUGAGAGGUGUAAACUUGGUAAAAAAAACAAACAACAACAACAAAAACAUUUAAUUUCACCUAAUUUGAAAAUUCUGUCAUAAAGAGCAUAUGUUCUACUUCAUAAAAAACAUUUUGGGAUUAAGUGGGUUGAACAUCUUUCUCGAAGUGAUGCAGAGUUGAUGGAGGGACACAUCAAAAUGCUGAAUUUUGGCACUACCAGGCCUUUAUUCAUAUCCAAAAUAUGAUUGAUUGAAUUCUCCAUGUGGUCUAUAUUAAAGGGCACUUAAGAUAUUGUAACAGGCUUUUAAAACUCAAUAUUGGUGCACAAUUAUAAAAUAAAAUAAAAUAUCAAAGGGAGGCAAAGGCACUCUUUUUGUGGAAUGACCCAACAAUGACCAUUUGUGCAAUCUGCAAAAUGCUGACGCAGAAGUGCAAGAAAAGUCAGCAAACAUCAGAUGAUUCGACAUUUGUAGAAUGUAAUAAUGUCGCAAAACAGACCAUGAAAGAAGAAACAAGACUUCCUGUGAAAACAGGGGAUUGGGUAUACAACCAACAGGUCUAACUGAACUUUUAACUGAAGUAAUUUUGGGUUGACUUUUUCAUCUAUCUUUCAUCUUUAAUAAAUCCAUGAUUGGGUCUGUGACCUUUGCAACAAGUCUGAUAGACUUUACACUAAAAGAGGAACACUUGUUAUUGUCUUCUGUUACAGACAGGCCAUAGAUUUUGUUUGAUGGCCGACCAGAGAGGCGGAGGAGAUGUGGUUUCAAAAAGACAGUAAAUAGCUUUUAGCUUCCUGUGAGAUUUUGAGUACUGUGUAGAAAUAGCUAUGCGUUCAUAAUGAAAGAGGAACCAGUGGCCAAACGCUACUGGUGUCAGGCCCUUUGUCCACUUCUACUGAAAAGUGUUAACCACUGCACUGCAGAUAACCGGAAUUGAGUGACUUAUAGUAAGUGCCUGUUAGAAAGAGUUUCCUGUUAUACAGUCUGUAUGACUUAUUACCCCAGUCUUUCUAUGACAUAGACUGACUAGUUGACAUAGACUGACCAGGUGAAAGCUAUGAUCCCUUAUUGAUGUCUGUCUGCUAAAUCCACCUCGAUCAGUGUAGAUUCAUUUCAUUUAACCUUUAUUUCACUAGGCAAGUCAGUUAAGAACAAAUUCUUAUUUACAAUGACAGCCUACCCCAGCCAAACCCUAACCCGGACGAUGCUGGGCCAAUUGUGCACUGCCCUAUGGGACUCCCAAUCAUGGCCGGUUGUGAUACAGCCUGGAAUCAAACCAGGGUCUGUAGUGAUGCCUCUAGCACUGAGAUGCAGUGCCUUAGACCGCUGCGUCACUCGGGAGGAGACAGGUUACAGAAGACUUUUAAGCCUCGAGACAAUUGAGACACGGAGACGUGGAGUUUUUCCUAGCCACUGUGCUUCUACAUCUGCAUUGCUUGCUGUUUGGCGUUUAAGGCUGGGUUUCUGUAUAAGCACUUUGUGACUGCUGAUGUAAAAAGGGCUUUAUAAUGUUUACAUUUUUAAUUUGAUUGUGUAUUCAUAGGGUGAAUGGGCAAGACAAAAGAUGUAAGUGCCUUUUAUAACGGGUUAUGGUAGUAGUUGCCUGACGCACCAGUAUGAGUGUGUCAAGAACUGCAACGCAGAAUGGUCCACCACCCAAAGGACAUCCAGCCAACUUGACACAACUGUGGAGGUCAAUUGGAGGUCAACAUUGGCCAGCAUCCCUGUGGAAUUCUUUCGACACCUUGUAGAGUCCAUGCCCCGACAAAUUGAAGCUGUUCUAAGGGGAUGCAACUCAAUAUUAAGAUGUUCCUAAUGUUUUCUACACUCAGUGCAGCGUUUACCAAACUCGGUCCUCAGAACCCCAAGAGGUGCACGUUUUUUUUCUUUUUUUUUACCUAACACCACACAGCUGAUCAAAGCUUGGUGAUUAGUUUAUUAUUUGAAUCAGCUGUGUAGUGCUAGGGCAAAAACCAAAGGACCGAGUUGGGGAAACCCUGAUCAGUGUAUUGGCCACAGGCAGCUUAUCUUCUUUCAGUUACUAAUAAACACCACUAGAGUUCACCACUGUGUUGUUUUUCACUAAAUAAAUUGUAUGCUAAGCCAACAUUCUUAGAUAAAACAGAUGGCUUUGUGAUUUGAGGUCAAAGUUGAGUGUAGCAAUGAUCUUUCUGGACUGAUAUCUUUUUUUGCGCUCCUUUGUCACUGCAGAAAUGCCCUUAAACCGUAUGGUGGCAAUUGCUUCCAUUUUUGUAAUUGUAUAUAUAUUUUCCUUUAUUAUUUUCCACUAACCCUACCAGCCCUCCCCUAAUUGGAGCAAAAAUAAUGAACAACAACACUUAGGCUUCUACUUCCAGCUUAUACAUAUUAUAUAUGGACACAAUCUAUUUUACAAUAGUUGUAUUUUGUUUGUUUUUAAUCCUAUCCUUCUGCUACACUCAACCACUCCCAUCUAUUUCUGAAGAUUUCUAUUUGCCACGUAUUUUUAACUGUGCUCUUUCACAGAAGUUCCGGACCUAUAUACAUUUACGGACACUGUAUAUUUGACAUGAGUUAUCUUGUUAUUAGUCCCACCCUUCAACUCCACUCAACUUCUCCCAUUUAUCUCUGAACAACAUCCGUAUUGGAUUUCUAUUUGCCAUAUAUUUUUCAACUGUGCUGUGAUGUUUCACAAAAAUUCUGAAACUUUCUAUUCUCAUAGUUUCUACAGAUUGUAAACUAAAUACAAUUUAUUAUUAUAUUAUUGAUCGAUUGACUAUGACUUUUCAUAGCUGCAGGUAAAUGUUGCAAUUAUUCAGCCAUUCCUGGACCUGCAACCAAAAACAAGCUACAUAUGGACAGUACCAAAACAAAUAAUGUAAUGAUUGUCUCUUCGCAAGAAAAUCUGCAGAGAUGGGAUUGUUGUUUCUCCCAUAUAUAUAACUGUGGAAAGGCCACCAGAGGGCAGGCUGGGCUCACGCAUAGUAGCCCAACCAGGCAUGUGAGUCAAUGUGACCAGAGGCAAUUAAGCACAGUUUACGGUACUAAUGACAUAUUCUCUUUUCCCUACAAGAGGGAGGAGGGAACCAGCAGAGAGGGGGGAAGAUUAAGAUAAACUAUCUCUGGAGAAUGGCCACCAAGAGAGAGGAGCUGUCCCCGAAGAACCAUUAAGACGGUGACAAACCUGUGAUUUUUGUUAUAGUUUAAAGAUAAUCGUCUUAUGUUCCUGUUUUCAUCUGAAGAAGAAGAUGUGUGUUUUUCCUUGGGAGAUUCUCAUUGAUUGUGUUGGAGUGUUUGUAUUGACAGAAAUCCCUCAAUAGAGAACUGUGUUCAAUCAAGAAGACCUACUCCUGGCUCGUUUAUUCCACCUUUCCGCUUUAGAGUGACACCAAAUUACUUGGUCCGCUCACAUAACAUUCUAUUUUUAAUUGUAUUUUUAUUUAACCUUAAAUUACAAUGACGGCCUACUGGUUGCAAUAAUUUUGUAUAAUGAUGUAAAUUUAAAAAUGUGAAGUUUUGAAUCCAGCGUUAUUUUCUGUAUCAUUUAAAGAACAAUGUGGCAUGGAAUCGAUACAUCGAAUCUCUUCACAACUAUUUUGCAAUUCAUAUGGAACAGCUGUGGUUUUUUUCUGGUUCUUAAAUAAAACAGGUAUAUUUAAAAAUGUAUUACAAUUUUCUUUAAACAAUUUUGGUCUUUAAUGCUGGGCCGACAGACAAGUUCCUUACUUUUCCCCCCUUCACUUGCCUCUUCCAUUUUUGCGGUAAUGCUGCAGUUAGUUGGUUGUAAUUUUGAGUAGAGCAGACAUUUCCAUAUAUUUUUGUUAGCUGCAUGUGUGACAUAACCCUAUUUAUGAUAUCAUUUACAAAGAUUAUACCUUUUUUAAGCCUUUAUUUUAUUUUUUACUUUUUUUAAUCAAUUAGUAUAUUUGAGUUUAACCACUAUUUGUUGUAUUAUUUGUUCUGUCUUUUCUGGUGGAUUAAACUGAAAUUGCAACCAACUUUCUAUUGCUUAAAAAUAGCAAUAUUUUUGAGAUCAUUUUCAAAUCACGAAAAGUGAGAGGUAGUAAUCUGAAUAAAGGUAAAAAUGCCAUUCUUGAACAGGGGGUGAGACAUUCUUCAUUUGUUAGAGAACCAGUCGGAUUUAAGUAUAACUUUUGUAUGACUGAUGCCUUUAGUGAGAGGUCUAAUGCUUUAAUAUUUAAUCAUUUCUGCCCUCCGAAUUCAUAUUAAUUUUGUCUGGCUUGCCGUUCCAAAUAAAAUGGAAUAUCUUUUGCUCAUAUAAUUUUAAAAAACAGGUCGCUAGGUGUCACGCCUGCUCCCGCUCUCCCUCCCUGGUGCCCGAGGGCGCCAGGCUGCCCAGCACUACGGACUCCUGCCACCAUCAUUACGCACACCUGCUUCCCUGGUCACGCGCAUCAGCAAUUCAUUAGACUUACCUGGACUCAAUCACCUGUGUUAUUACCUCCCCUAUAUCUGUCUGUUCCCCAGCUUUGUUCCCGGCUUCAGCAUUAAUUGUUGUCAUGUCGUUUUGUUCGCCCUGUUCUGAUGCUGUUCCUGUUCUGUCACUUGUCCGUUCAUUAAAUGUUCACUCCCUGUACCUG
Oncorhynchus kisutch (coho salmon) is the source of this 5676-nucleotide long non-coding RNA. RefSeq lists it as uncharacterized. The record is from RefSeq and is a predicted model, not a curated record. The transcript has 2 exons. NCBI's taxonomy places the organism in Eukaryota, Metazoa, Chordata, Actinopteri, Salmoniformes, Salmonidae.